GACUCUGAAAAUCCCAUUAGAUCAAACACAUAUAGUAAGUAUUUUAUUUGCUUAUUAAGACAUGGUGCUGCUAUGUAGCCUUGACUGGAACUCACUCUGUAGGGCAGGCUUUCCAAAGCUCAGAGAGUCACCUCCUUCUGCCUCUCAAGUGCUGGGAUGAGAGGCGUGUGCGGCCAUAGCUGACUGUAGAGUUGAAUUUUUAUUUCUCUUGGCACCACUCCAUUGAAACUACUGUCACUUUAAGCAUUUAUGGGGCGUCAGGUUACGCUGUUCAGGGCAGUCCCAUGUUUUGCCUUAAGGUCACCUUCAGCUUUAUUCAAGGCACAGUCACCUGAAGCAAAGGGACAGCAUUUUAGUGGCAGGAUUCAGCUAAACCAGUCAGAACCAGUGGCCCAAAGGACACCAACAGGCUACACUUUUAUACCUAUCCAUCUCUGUACAUCCCAAACAAUGAGAAAUCUUUGCUGGCCAAUGCUUCUUGUCGGAGGUAGUUAACAGCAGGAGACUUAACAAGGCUCUCUGGCAAGGAGUGGGGGUCCUGAGCUCACCAUCUCAAAGGCUCACAUUCACCAAGCGUCAGUAUUUUCAGUAUGAAGGAGUGUCUAUAACCCUACUAAUCACCACGGGCUAAAUGUAGUAGCCAAUCCUCACACCUUCCUUGAGAGGUAAGUAUUCCUAUGGUACUGAUAGAGAUGGGGAAGCAAUAUUGAGAAGCACGCAGGCAACCUCAA
RNAcentral lists this long non-coding RNA (731 nucleotides) under Rattus norvegicus (Norway rat). Its description in RNAcentral is "long non-coding RNA NONRATT026634". Lineage: Eukaryota; Metazoa; Chordata; Mammalia; Rodentia; Muridae. The record is from RNAcentral.